CGGGACACGUGGUAUCCUGUCUGAAUAUGGGGGGACCAUCCUCCAAGGCUAAAUACUCCUGACUGACCGAUAGUGAACCAGUACCGUGAGGGAAAGGCGAAAAGAACCCCGGCGAGGGGAGUGAAAAAGAACCUGAAACCGUGUACGUACAAGCAGUGGGAGCACGCUUCGGCGUGUGACUGCGUACCUUUUGUAUAAUGGGUCAGCGACUUAUAUUCUGUAGCAAGGUUAACCGAAUAGGGGAGCCGAAGGGAAACCGAGUCUUAACUGGGCGUUAAGUUGCAGGGUAUAGACCCGAAACCCGGUGAUCUAGCCAUGGGCAGGUUGAAGGUUGGGUAACACUAACUGGAGGACCGAACCGACUAAUGUUGAAAAAUUAGCGGAUGACUUGUGGCUGGGGGUGAAAGGCCAAUCAAACCGGGAGAUAGCUGGUUCUCCCCGAAAGCUAUUUAGGUAGCGCCUCGUGAAUUCAUCUCCGGGGGUAGAGCACUGUUUCGGCAAGGGGGUCAUCCCGACUUACCAACCCGAUGCAAACUGCGAAUACCGGAGAAUGUUAUCACGGGAGACACACGGCGGGUGCUAACGUCCGUCGUGAAGAGGGAAACAACCCAGACCGCCAGCUAAGGUCCCAAAGUCAUGGUUAAGUGGGAAACGAUGUGGGAAGGCCCAGACAGCCAGGAUGUUGGCUUAGAAGCAGCCAUCAUUUAAAGAAAGCGUAAUAGCUCACUGGUCGAGUCGGCCUGCGCGGAAGAUGUAACGGGGCUAAACCAUGCACCGAAGCUGCGGCAGCGACACUAUGUGUUGUUGGGUAGGGGAGCGUUCUGUAAGCCUGUGAAGGUGUACUGUGAGGUAUGCUGGAGGUAUCAGAAGUGCGAAUGCUGACAUAAGUAACGAUAAAGCGGGUGAAAAGCCCGCUCGCCGGAAGACCAAGGGUUCCUGUCCAACGUUAAUCGGGGCAGGGUGAGUCGACCCCUAAGGCGAGGCCGAAAGGCGUAGUCGAUGGGAAACAGGUUAAUAUUCCUGUACUUGGUGUUACUGCGAAGGGGGGACGGAGAAGGCUAUGUUGGCCGGGCGACGGUUGUCCCGGUUUAAGCGUGUAGGCUGGUUUUCCAGGCAAAUCCGGAAAAUCAAGGCUGAGGCGUGAUGACGAGGCACUACGGUGCUGAAGCAACAAAUGCCCUGCUUCCAGGAAAAGCCUCUAAGCAUCAGGUAACAUCAAAUCGUACCCCAAACCGACACAGGUGGUCAGGUAGAGAAUACCAAGGCGCUUGAGAGAACUCGGGUGAAGGAACUAGGCAAAAUGGUGCCGUAACUUCGGGAGAAGGCACGCUGAUAUGUAGGUGAAGCGACUUGCUCGUGGAGCUGAAAUCAGUCGAAGAUACCAGCUGGCUGCAACUGUUUAUUAAAAACACAGCACUGUGCAAACACGAAAGUGGACGUAUACGGUGUGACGCCUGCCCGGUGCCGGAAGGUUAAUUGAUGGGGUUAGCGGUAA
Molecule: ribosomal RNA, 1495 nt
Filed under: Escherichia coli
Lineage: Bacteria; Pseudomonadati; Pseudomonadota; Gammaproteobacteria; Enterobacterales; Enterobacteriaceae
Description: partial 23S ribosomal RNA
Rfam family: Bacterial large subunit ribosomal RNA
Source: RNAcentral